RNAcentral lists this transfer RNA (69 nucleotides) under Smaragdina rufimana. RNAcentral describes it as "tRNA-Gln". Lineage: Eukaryota; Metazoa; Arthropoda; Insecta; Coleoptera; Chrysomelidae. The record is from RNAcentral.
UACAUUUAAGUAUAAGUUGUACAGAAAUUUUUGAUAUUUCAAGGGGCGGUUAAAUUCCGUUAGAUGUAA